GGCAACGGCAGGCAUCGCAACUCGGGUCGCAUGUCCAUGGCCACUCGGCACUCUCCGCGAACCCUCCGGUUGCAUCGUCCUCAACGGCUGCUCUCCCGACCAUGCCGCAGGUGGCACACCUGCAGGCUGUCCCAGAGAGGAAUAGGCCGUCGCCAGUGUCAAGGCCCGGCUAUCACCUUGCGGACACUCGUCCCGCGUAUGGCCCGGCAGCCCACACUUGAAGCACUUGCCCUCCCGCUGCUCACACUGUUGUGGGUAGUGAGGGCCUCCACAAAUAACACAUCUCGCAGAGGACCUAACGUGGUAAGUCCCCGGAGCUCGGGAUCGCGAGCGCGAACUCAUCGAAGUUUGUUGGGAACUUGACUGACCGUCAUGCCCGCUCACCGGCCGUCCUUUCCCCUUUUCCUUGUAAUAUGCCUCGCGCUCCUCCCGCAGAGAUUCCUCGCCUUGCUCUAUCCACAAGGCCCGAUCUAGGACCUCGGCAAAAGUCUGCAACUUGUGUACAAGCACAGCCUUGUAAAGGCCUGGUCGCAGUCCACGCAC
Molecule: long non-coding RNA, 543 nt
Filed under: Ananas comosus (pineapple)
Lineage: Eukaryota; Viridiplantae; Streptophyta; Magnoliopsida; Poales; Bromeliaceae
Description: long non-coding RNA (ACOM_LNC039144)
Source: RNAcentral